Molecule: ribosomal RNA, 1041 nt
Filed under: Buddenbrockia bryozoides
Lineage: Eukaryota; Metazoa; Cnidaria; Myxozoa; Malacovalvulida; Saccosporidae
Description: SSU rRNA
Rfam family: Eukaryotic small subunit ribosomal RNA
Source: RNAcentral
UGGUAGAGUGAAACUGCGGAUAGCUCAUUACAACGCCUACAUUUUUCUUGAUUGUCAAUCUACAGGAUAACCGUAGAAAAUCUAGAGCUAAGACUUGCAUUGAUAUCCAGCCUUUACUGGCUGGAUGCAUUUUUCUGAUAUCCGAUCGCAUGUUGCCGUAAGGCUUCAAGCGAAAGGUGAUUCUAGAUGACUUUGCUGAUCGUAUGGCUUUAUGCCGACGACAGAUCAAAUAAAAUCGCGCCCUAUCAAUUUGUAGUUAGGAUAUUUUCCUAACUAGAUUACGACGGGUCACGGGGAAUCAGGGUUCGAUUCCGGAGAGGCAGCUUGAGAUAUCGCUACCACAUCUAAGGAAGGCAGCAGGCGCGCAAAUUACCCACUCCCGAACUGGGGAGGUAGUGACGAGAAAUAUCAGUCUAACUCUUUGAGCAAUAGACUGGAAUGGACGAAAUUCAGGUCCAUUCGUGAAUACUAGCGAGGGGCAAGUCUGGUGCCAGCAGCCGCGGUAAUUCCAGCCUCGCACGUACAUGUAAAAUUUGUUGCAUUUAAAAAGCUCGUAGUCGGACUGUUUCACGACGUUUUGUUCAAAGCCAGCUGCAACUCGGCUAACCAGUUUCGAAGGGUUUUGAACUGGUCAAUUAGUCGUUGCAACUGGAUGAAUAGUCGUGAACAAGUACAAAUUUCGCUCCUACACUUAAUUGUGUGGGGGAUUGAACAUUUGUAGACGUACCUUGAACAAAUCGGUUUGUUCAAAACAGGCCAUAUCGAGCGCCUGGACAUUCGAGCAUGGAAUGAUCGAUCGAGACCUGAUCGUUUGGUCGGAAACGAAUAAGGUCCAGGUCAAAAGGGACAUUUGGGGGCAUACGAACUCGGCAGCGAGAGGUGAAAUUCUAAGACCUGCCGAGGUCGAACUAAAGCGAAAGCAUUUGCCAAGAAUGUUUUCAUUGAUCAAGAACGAAAGUUGGAGGAUCAAAAACGAUCAGAUACCGUUGUAGUUCCAACUUUAAACUAUGCCGACUGUUGGGGGCCAGUUCGGUAUAUCCG